Potamilus streckersoni is the source of this 77-nucleotide non-coding RNA. The record is from the annotation of a GenBank genome assembly. Lineage: Eukaryota; Metazoa; Mollusca; Bivalvia; Unionida; Unionidae.
GACCGCUCCGGUGGCCUAAUGGUUGCAGCGUUCGCCUCAGAUGUGAGAGGUCGCGGGUUCGAACCCCAUCCGAGUUA